UACGAAGGUGGCAAGCGUUACUCGGAAUUACUAGGCGUAAAGGGCAGGUAGGCGGUUUGAUAAGUCUGUUGUGUAAGCUCCCGGCUUAACUGGGAGAGGUCAACAGAUACUGUCAGGCUUGAGUAUAGGAGAGGUUACUGGAAUUCCCGGUGUAGCGGUGAAAUGCGCAGAUAUCGGGAGGAACACCGGUGGCGAAGGCGGAUCUCUGGGCCGAUACUGACGCUGAGGAGCGAAAGCGUGGGGAGCGAACAGG
This 253-nucleotide ribosomal RNA is filed under the name uncultured bacterium. RNAcentral describes it as "partial 16S ribosomal RNA". It matches the Rfam family "Bacterial small subunit ribosomal RNA", at positions 524 to 776 of the family's 1533-position model. The record is from RNAcentral.